Molecule: long non-coding RNA, 286 nt
Organism: Amphimedon queenslandica
Lineage: Eukaryota; Metazoa; Porifera; Demospongiae; Haplosclerida; Niphatidae
Exons: 5
Source: RefSeq, a predicted model, not a curated record
CAGUAUUUCUCACAAGUACCAAAUAAUCGGUUGUGGCAGCUGGUAAAUGUCAACAUAGCAUCAACAACAAUGAUGACUCAUAUGAUAUUACCCACAAUGCUGGAGAGAGGUAGAGGUGCUAUUAUCAAUGUGUCCUCAGCUUUAGGUGAUGCUCCCCCUACUCCUCUAUUAGCUGCUGAAGCUGCUUCAAUGAGUUUUGUGACAAUGUUAGGACGAACCCUACACGAUGAGUAUCAUCACAAAGGAAUCACUGUACAGACAUUGACACCACUUCCUCUAUCAAAGG